AACGAACGCUGGCGGCAUGCCUAACACAUGCAAGUCGAACGAUUGCCUUCGGGUGAUAGUGGCGCACGGGUGCGUAACGCGGGGGAAUCUGCCCUUAGGUUCGGAAUAACAGCUGGAAACGGCUGCUCAUACCGGAUGAUAUCGCGAGAUCAAAGAUUUAUUGCCUGAGGAUGAGCCCGCGUUGGAUUCGGUAGUUGGUGGGAUAAACGCCUACCAAGCCGACGAUCCAUAGCUGGUCUGAGAGGCUGAUCAGCCACACUGGGACUGAGACGCGGCCCAGACUCCUACGCGAGGCAGCAGUGGGGGAUAUAGGACAAUCGGCUCAAUGCUGAACCAGCAAUGCCGCGUGAGUGAUGAAGGCGCUAGAGUAGUAAAGCUCUUUUACCCGGGAAGAUAAUGACGGUACCGGGAGAAUAAGCCCCGGCUAACUCCGUG
RNAcentral lists this ribosomal RNA (435 nucleotides) under uncultured bacterium. RNAcentral describes it as "partial 16S ribosomal RNA". It matches the Rfam family "Bacterial small subunit ribosomal RNA", at positions 29 to 507 of the family's 1533-position model. The record is from RNAcentral.